This 77-nucleotide small nuclear RNA is filed under the name Caenorhabditis brenneri. RNAcentral describes it as "snRNA CBN34226". Lineage: Eukaryota; Metazoa; Nematoda; Chromadorea; Rhabditida; Rhabditidae. The record is from RNAcentral.
GGCUCGCCCACGGUUUUGACCUGAAGAAAUUUAGAGUCAACUUGAAAUUUUGGAACGUCUCCUUUAGGGGAGACAAA